GGCCCAGACUCCUACGGGAGGCAGCAGUAGGGAAUCUUCCGCAAUGGACGAAAGUCUGACGGAGCAACGCCGCGUGAGUGAUGAAGGCUUUCGGGUCGUAAAACUCUGUUGUUAGGGAAGAACAAGUGCUAGUUGAAUAAGCUGGCACCUUGACGGUACCUAACCAGAAAGCCACGGCUAACUACGUGCCAGCAGCCGCGGUAAUACGUAGGUGGCAAGCGUUAUCCGGAAUUAUUGGGCGUAAAGCGCGCGCAGGUGGUUUCUUAAGUCUGAUGUGAAAGCCCACGGCUCAACCGUGGAGGGUCAUUGGAAACUGGGAGACUUGAGUGCAGAAGAGGAAAGUGGAAUUCCAUGUGUAGCGGUGAAAUGCGUAGAGAUAUGGAGGAACACCAGUGGCGAAGGCGACUUUCUGGUCUGUAACUGACACUGAGGCGCGAAAGCGUGGGGAGCAAACAGGAUUAGAUACCCUGGUAGUCCACGCCGUAAACGAUGAGUGCUAA
RNAcentral lists this ribosomal RNA (500 nucleotides) under Bacillus wiedmannii. RNAcentral describes it as "bacterial SSU rRNA". It matches the Rfam family "Bacterial small subunit ribosomal RNA", at positions 328 to 819 of the family's 1533-position model. The record is from RNAcentral. Lineage: Bacteria; Bacillati; Bacillota; Bacilli; Caryophanales; Bacillaceae.